This 1425-nucleotide long non-coding RNA is filed under the name Panax ginseng (ginseng). Its description in RNAcentral is "long non-coding RNA (PGIN_LNC001501)". The record is from RNAcentral. Lineage: Eukaryota; Viridiplantae; Streptophyta; Magnoliopsida; Apiales; Araliaceae.
GUCAGGUCUGUUCUUCAUUUUCUGGGUUACCCAGAAAUGAAGAACAGAUCAUGAGUGAUACUUUGAGCCUUCACUACAUGCUAAUCGUCCAAUGUUUUAAGGAUCUAACGAUUCCAGGUUAUACCCAACAUGUAACUAAAUAGAUCUAUCACAAAAUAGUACUAAAACAACAACAAACAAAGCAGAUCAUGCUCGGUCAAAGUUGUCAGAAAACUGUUCUUAAAGAUUUUCUGGAAAAUUACCAGAAACAUAAAUCAAUGUCGAGUGGCCUAGUUUGACCACUUUUCACGGUUGAUCUGUUGAUGUUUGUAGACAUAUACAGAUCCCGAUUUGUAGAAUACUAUACAAGCUACACGUAUGAUACAAUAAAAUUAACAAAACACAUAAAACCUGAUAGAUCUAGAUAAUACAAAUAUUGUCAGACGCCACCAAAAGCUUUCUGGGUUUACCCAGAUUAUCCUCGGUCAUGGUCGGUCAACCGACUUUGACCACGAUUAUCUUACAACUUAUGCAUGAUCUGGUUCGACUACAAGUUCUAGAACACAGAUCUCACAUCAUACAACAAAAUCAAAUACUUAAACAACAAAAACACAUAACAACCACAGAUCUACAGCUUCUGACAUUCGAUGUCAGAACACAAAAUGAAAGUUUUCCAGAUUUUUAAAAACAUCAAAUCCGAGCCUCUAGAUGUUAUGGAUCUAACAUCUAGCAACCCAGAUCAUCUCUAGACAACAUAAACAAUAUAUUUUAACACUUAAACACAACAUCUAACAAAAAAUUUUGGACAGAAAUUCAAGGUAGGGUUUAUACCUUAAAUGAGCAAUUUCUGAUUUUGUGUUGCUGUUUUGUUGUUGGAUUUCGUGGGGCUGUUCUUAGGGACUGAAAUGCUUAGAUAAUUUCGUUGGUUUGAGAGAAAAUGAGAGUUGGUUAUGUAUUGUAUAAAAUUGGCUAACAAAAUCAUUUCUCUCUCUCUCUCAAUCCUUUAAAUAGACAAAUUGGAUGCAUGUAUGCUGAACUAGAGAGGUUUGCUGGCAAAAUAGGCAUGUGGAGUGGUUAGUGUUUGGUGAACAACCUCACCAAUUUGUCAAAACCUAUAACUAGCUUCUUAAAUGCUAAAAAGGGCAAAAUGGUCAUUUCCUUAAAUUUCUAGAAAAGUGCCUUAGGGUUUAGGGUUUAGACAUUUUAGUGUUUAGGGUUUGAGCAAAUUUGGGUUUUAUAAGUAAACAAAAAUCUAGGAUUUCCAAUUUAGGGUUUGCACAUUAAAUAAAUAACAUUAAAUAAAUAAAAUUAAAUAACUUUUAGUUUCUAAAAUUUUGAAAAAUAAAUAUUGUUAAUUAAUUAAGUUUGUAAUUACAUGAACAUUAGGGUUUAUUACCCUUAAUCAUAAUGAACUUUGCUAAUAAAGCAAUUAGGGUUUAAAAUAUC